This is a long non-coding RNA of Pongo pygmaeus (Bornean orangutan), 631 nucleotides long. RefSeq lists it as uncharacterized. NCBI's taxonomy places the organism in Eukaryota, Metazoa, Chordata, Mammalia, Primates, Hominidae. The record is from RefSeq and is a predicted model, not a curated record. The transcript is spliced from 3 exons.
GGAGAGGCCUAAAGCCACAGAAGCUGUGGAAGGCGCCAUCCUGCCUGUCACAGGAGGGGCCCUGGACUGAGAGGACCGGAGCUGACUGGGGAUUAUUCAAAGCCAAAAGCCAACAGAGCCCCCAUGGAGAAGUGGAGGAUGCUCAGAUGCUACUAUGGAGCCCUGAGAAGUGAAAUGGGCCCAAGCCCUUGCCCAGGAUAGAGCGCUCCAAGCGUGUCCUCCAGGGACCCUUUUAACCAGUGAAUUGUUCACCUCUCACUGUUUCUUCCCAACGGAGCUAAGAGACUUCUAGAGCCUCUUGUGAUGGUCAGCGAUAGCCCUGAGAUGGGCAUCCACUGGCUCACGUUAUAUUUCGGGACCAUUGUAAUUGUUCCAGAUGGGAGCCAAAUGAGGAAAACUUUGCGAAAUAAUUCUGAGUCCCUUGCUGGAAAGCCUCACCUGAAUGCAGCCCACACGUUUAUGAUACACUACAAAGGCUUCACGGUCAUGAGAUGCCUCUGUCCAAAGAAGAAGAGGAAGGGCACCCCUGCCUGCCCCGCAUCUCUUACCACCUCUCAUUUCUUCCCUCCUGGCACCAUCUACUGUCAAGAGCAGAAUCAGACUCCCUGAAAUAACUGAGACACUGACAUUC